RNAcentral lists this non-coding RNA (87 nucleotides) under Medicago truncatula (barrel medic). Lineage: Eukaryota; Viridiplantae; Streptophyta; Magnoliopsida; Fabales; Fabaceae. The record is from RNAcentral.
UAGAGCCAAAUGAAUUGAAAAUUCAUGUUUGGUUCGGGAAGAGAUCAUAGACAUUUUGAAAUAAAUGCAAAGAGAAUCUACUUUCAU